CGCCUCCUGCAACACAACCAUGUAUAGGAGGUCCAGCCUGCCCAGUGACUACAAGUUCAACGGCCGCGGUAUUUUGACCGUGCAAAGGUAGCGCAAUCACUUGUCUUUUAAAUAGAGACCUGUAUGAAUGGCUAAACGAGGGCUUAACUGUCUCCCCUUUCCAGUCAGUGAAAUUGAUCUGCCCGUGCAGAAGCGGACAUAAAAAUACAAGACGAGAAGACCCUUUGGAGCUUAAGGUACAAAACUCAACCGCGUCAAGCAACUCAAUAAAAAGCAAAAACUUUGCGGAACAUGAGAUUUUACCUUCGGUUGGGGCGACCACGGAGGAAAACAAAGCCUCCAAGUGGAUUGGGAAAACCUCCUAAAACCAAGAGAGACAUCUCUAAGCCACAGAACAUCUGACCAAACAUGAUCCGGCUGCCCGAAGCCGAUCAACGAACCAAGUUACCCUAGGGAUAACAGCGCAAUCCUCUCCCAGAGUCCAUAUCGACGAGAGGGUUUACGACCUCGAUGUUGGAUCAGGACAUCCUAAUGGUGCAGCCGCUAUUAAGGGUUCGUUUGUUCAACGAUUAAAGUCCG
This 579-nucleotide ribosomal RNA is filed under the name Labeo catla (catla). Its description in RNAcentral is "partial 16S ribosomal RNA". It matches the Rfam family "Bacterial large subunit ribosomal RNA", at positions 1816 to 2597 of the family's 2925-position model. Lineage: Eukaryota; Metazoa; Chordata; Actinopteri; Cypriniformes; Cyprinidae. The record is from RNAcentral.